This 71-nucleotide transfer RNA is filed under the name Ovis aries (sheep). It matches the Rfam family "tRNA". Rfam says of the family: Transfer RNA (tRNA) molecules are approximately 80 nucleotides in length. Their secondary structure includes four short double-helical elements and three loops (D, anti-codon, and T loops). Further hydrogen bonds mediate the characteristic L-shaped molecular structure. tRNAs have two regions of fundamental functional importance: the anti-codon, which is responsible for specific mRNA codon recognition, and the 3' end, to which the tRNAs corresponding amino acid is attached (by aminoacyl-tRNA synthetases). tRNAs cope with the degeneracy of the genetic code in two manners: having more than one tRNA (with a specific anti-codon) for a particular amino acid; and 'wobble' base-pairing, i.e. permitting non-standard base-pairing at the 3rd anti-codon position. Lineage: Eukaryota; Metazoa; Chordata; Mammalia; Artiodactyla; Bovidae. The record is from Rfam by way of RNAcentral.
UCCCCAGUGGCUCAGCGGUAGAGAAUCUGCCUGCAAUGCAGGAGAUGCAGGUUCAAUCCCUGGGUUGGGAA